Molecule: non-coding RNA, 108 nt
Organism: Streptococcus thermophilus CNCM I-1630
Lineage: Bacteria; Bacillati; Bacillota; Bacilli; Lactobacillales; Streptococcaceae
Source: Rfam
UAUUUAUGGUUUCGUCGCUUUAAAUUUUAAGUCAGAUGGGACUUUGUGUAUACUCAAAAGCUCCAUAACUUCUUAGCAGGUUUUACCCACUACAGAAAUUAUAGAGCC